GAUGAACGCUGGCGGCGUGCUUAACACAUGCAAGUCGAACGGAAAGGCCCAAGCUUGCUUGGGUCCUCGAGUGGCGAACGGGUGAGUAACACGUGGGUGAUCUGCCCUGCACUUCGGGAUAAGCCUGGGAAACUGGGUCUAAUACCGGAUAGGACCACUUCUUGGAUGUUGUGGUGGAAAGUUUUUUCGGUGUGGGAUGAGCUCGCGGCCUAUCAGCUUGUUGGUGGGGUAAUGGCCUACCAAGGCGUCGACGGGUAGCCGGCCUGAGAGGGUGUACGGCCACAUUGGGACUGAGAUACGGCCCAGACUCCUACGGGAGGCGGCAGUGGGGAAUAUUGCACAAUGGGCGCAAGCCUGAUGCAGCGACGCCGCGUGGGGGAUGACGGCCUUCGGGUUGUAAACUCCUUUCGCUAGGGACGAAGCGUUUUGUGACGGUACCUGGAGAAGAAGCACCGGCUAACUACGUG
This 467-nucleotide ribosomal RNA is filed under the name uncultured bacterium. RNAcentral's name for it is "partial 16S ribosomal RNA". It matches the Rfam family "Bacterial small subunit ribosomal RNA", at positions 28 to 507 of the family's 1533-position model. The record is from RNAcentral.